This 78-nucleotide non-coding RNA is filed under the name Danio rerio (zebrafish). Lineage: Eukaryota; Metazoa; Chordata; Actinopteri; Cypriniformes; Danionidae. The record is from RNAcentral.
UUUUUAACCCAGCCACUAGCAGUGACACUUUGUUGUUUUAGUGCCGGUCCCAAGCCCGGAGAAAAUGGGGAGGGUUUU